AUGUGUAACUGUGUGUACGAAGAUGAAUAUGAGGAGGUGGUGCCUGCUGUCUAGGUAUUCACGUGCGUGUUGUCGUACAGCAGUCACCGUGCUCGGCUGACACUCCGGGUUAGCUGUGGGUGUCGAAAGGCUGUUGUUAUAGGAAGGGAGAAUAAGAGUAACACCUAGGUAUGAGGUGCAGACGAAGUGCAAGACACAAGUACUUCAAAGAGAGAACGGGGUAGCCGAGUAUAAGGUGCAGACGAAGUGCAAGACACAAGUACUUUAGUUAUUAGGAGAGGAUAAUGAAGUACGAGGUGCAGACGAAGUGCAAGACACAAGUACUUCAGAGAGAGAACGGGGUAGCCGAGUAUAAGGUGCAGACGAAGUGCAAGACACAAAUACUAGGCGUACCAGGUGAGGAAAGAUAACAGAGUACGAGGUGCAGACGAAGUGCAAGACACAAGUACUCUGAAAUGUCGAGGAAAAGAGUAUAUAGGUUAGAAAAGGAAUAAACAAAGACUUUACUUUAAACAGUAAGCCGGACAGCGACAACCGAGUACUGAGACUGAUGAAUGACACAAGGCACUGGAGUCGACUGACCACGAUGGUCAGGUCUAUUGGGUUUUUAUAAUAAUUACACCUAUUGCCGAUUUGGCAAUAAAUAUUAUUUGUUAAUUCACCAGUCUCAGGCAGCGGAUGUGCUGUCUGUAUUUUAUUAAAAUAAUUCUCACGAUUAUGAAAACGUGACACC
Long non-coding RNA from Daktulosphaira vitifoliae (grape phylloxera), 733 nucleotides. RefSeq lists it as uncharacterized. NCBI's taxonomy places the organism in Eukaryota, Metazoa, Arthropoda, Insecta, Hemiptera, Phylloxeridae. The transcript is spliced from 3 exons. The record is from RefSeq and is a predicted model, not a curated record.